RNAcentral lists this long non-coding RNA (402 nucleotides) under Carica papaya (papaya). Its description in RNAcentral is "long non-coding RNA (CPAP_LNC005369)". Lineage: Eukaryota; Viridiplantae; Streptophyta; Magnoliopsida; Brassicales; Caricaceae. The record is from RNAcentral.
AUAUUAUUUUCCUUAUUAAGCAUAUGGAACUCACUUUUUUCAUUCCUCCCUCCCCAUAUGAGGAAGAAAAUGAGGAACCACAGGUAGAAGUCUAUGAGGAUCCCGUGGAUCCACAAGUCUGAGUGCAUGUCUGUUCCCGCACUCUGAUGAAUUCCAAUAACAUAAUGAAAAAGAAGUGACUAUUAUGCUUUGUAUUUUGUACCUACUUUUGGCCUUAGUGAUGUAUGUAUUUGGAAAAAAUACAUAUGUAUCUGUAAGGGAUUUGUUAAGGCCUUGAUUCCGCUGCAUAAAUAUUAUCAUGCACUUGUUAUUCUGAAUAUGUAUCUUGCACCCAUUGGGCUUAACUAGCACCUGGGAUGUCACAGACAUGCCCUCAACCUUUGUGUCAAUUGUCGCAUUGCU